GACCCUCGCAGGAGCCUACCCCUGGAUCUGCCGCACAGGUGUUAAUUCAGCAUUCACGGAAUUAUAGAGAACACGGCAACCACGAAUGACAAGCACCCACUGCAGUGCACAUCUGGAAACAACGAAACAACUGAGCUGAACAAGAGCUAAACGGGCACUCCCUGCCUUACACUCUCAGCAUGCACAGUAGAGAUUAGCAGCAAUAGAGAAAAGGGAACGAGAACUGCAAAGAUUAAGAAUUUUAGAAACAUAAACCAAAUGCAAUGGGAGAUUUCUAUACAGAUCCUGGUACAGACAAAUCAACAGCAGCAAGACAUUCUGAAGACGUGGAGAUACAUGACCACAGAUCUGAAAUCAUCAACAGAGGAAAAAAGACAACCACCACCAGCUCUCUCUGCCUCCCAGCCGGGGCUCCCUUCUCAGCGAGCCAGGCAACGCCGCACCAGCCUGUCGUGUGCUCCGCACAGAAGCA
Lepus europaeus (European hare) is the source of this 472-nucleotide long non-coding RNA. RefSeq lists it as uncharacterized. The transcript has 3 exons. NCBI's taxonomy places the organism in Eukaryota, Metazoa, Chordata, Mammalia, Lagomorpha, Leporidae. The record is from RefSeq and is a predicted model, not a curated record.